GACGAACGCUGGCGGCGUGCCUAAUACAUGCAAGUUGAGCGCUGAAGGUUGGUACUUGUACCAACUGGAUGAGCAGCGAACGGGUGAGUAACGCGUGGGGAAUCUGCCUUUGAGCGGGGGACAACAUUUGGAAACGAAUGCUAAUACCGCAUAAAAACUUUAAACACAAGUUUUAAGUUUGAAAGAUGCAAUUGCAUCACUCAAAGAUGAUCCCGCGUUGUAUUAGCUAGUUGGUGAGGUAAAGGCUCACCAAGGCGAUGAUACAUAGCCGACCUGAGAGGGGUAUCGGCCACAAUGGGACUGGGACACGGCCCAAACUCCUACGGGAGGCAGCAGUAGGGAAUCUUCGGCAAUGGACGAAAGUCUGACCGAGCAACGCCGCGGGAGUGAAGAAGGUUGUCGGAUCGUAAAACUCUGUUGGUAGAGAAGAACGUUGGUGAGAGUGGAAAGCUCAUCAAGUGACGGUAACUACCCAGAAAGGGACGGCUAACUACGUG
RNAcentral lists this ribosomal RNA (497 nucleotides) under uncultured bacterium. Its description in RNAcentral is "partial 16S ribosomal RNA". It matches the Rfam family "Bacterial small subunit ribosomal RNA", at positions 28 to 507 of the family's 1533-position model. The record is from RNAcentral.